UACGGACUUGAGGAAAAUCCGUCGACUUUAAAAAUCGUGAGGG
RNAcentral lists this transfer RNA (43 nucleotides) under Polygonum cuspidatum var. terminale. Its description in RNAcentral is "Polygonum cuspidatum var. terminalis partial tRNA-Leu". The record is from RNAcentral. Lineage: Eukaryota; Viridiplantae; Streptophyta; Magnoliopsida; Caryophyllales; Polygonaceae.